This 254-nucleotide ribosomal RNA is filed under the name uncultured bacterium. RNAcentral's name for it is "partial 16S ribosomal RNA". It matches the Rfam family "Bacterial small subunit ribosomal RNA", at positions 524 to 776 of the family's 1533-position model. The record is from RNAcentral.
UACGUAGGGUGCGAGCGUUUAAUCGGAAUUACUGGGCGUAAAGCGCGCGCAGGCGGCUAUCCAAGUCAGUGGUGAAAGCCCGGAGCUCAACUCCGGAACUGCCAUUGAAACUGUUGAACUUGAGGACGAGAGAGGUGAGUGGAAUUCCCAGUGUAGAGGUGAAAUUCGUAGAUAUUGGGAAGAACACCGGUGGCGAAGGCGGCUCACUGGCUCGUUUCUGACGCUCAGGCGCGACAGCGUGGGGAUCAAACAGG